RNAcentral lists this ribosomal RNA (199 nucleotides) under uncultured sulfate-reducing bacterium. Its description in RNAcentral is "partial 16S ribosomal RNA". It matches the Rfam family "Bacterial small subunit ribosomal RNA", at positions 327 to 523 of the family's 1533-position model. The record is from RNAcentral.
CGGUCCAGACUCCUACGGGAGGCAGCAGUGAGGAAUAUUGGUCAAUGGACGAGAGUCUGAACCAGCCAAGUCGCGUGAAGGAAGACGGCCCUAAGGGUUGUAAACUUCUUUUGUAGAGGAAUAAAAUGUUCUACGUGUAGGAUAUUGCAAGUACUUUACGAAUAAGGAUCGGCUAACUCCGUGCCAGCAGCCGCGGUAA